GAGUUUGAUCCUUGCUCAGGAUGAAUGCUGGUGGCAUGCCUUACACAUGCAAGUCGGACGGAAAGUGGUGUUUUCAGUGGCAAACGGGUGAGUAACGCGUUAAAACCUAUCCUUGGGAGGGAAACAACAGCUGGAAACGAUUGCUAAUACCCCGUAAGCUGAGGAGCAAAAGGAGGAAUCCGUCCAAGGAGGAGCUCGCGUCUGAUUAGCUAGUUGGUGAAGCAAUAACUUACCAAUCAGUAGUUGGUCUGAGAAGAUGAUCAGCCACACUGGGACUGAGACAUGGCCUAGACUCCUAUAAGAAUUUUCCGCAAUAAACUUGACGGAGCAAUGUCGACAAAAAUACCC
Vigna angularis (adzuki bean) is the source of this 348-nucleotide ribosomal RNA. It matches the Rfam family "Bacterial small subunit ribosomal RNA", at positions 9 to 546 of the family's 1533-position model. NCBI's taxonomy places the organism in Eukaryota, Viridiplantae, Streptophyta, Magnoliopsida, Fabales, Fabaceae. The record is from Rfam.